GCUUUAAUCAACUGGUUUUAUUUCCUAGAACUGAAACAUUCUAUGGUUGGUUCUCAGAUCAAACUUCCGAAACUGCAGUCAACAAUUUUUCAUCAGAGCCCAAGGGAGAGGGGAAGGGGUGAAAGAGACAAUAGAUGGAGAAAGGCAUAAUGACCAUUAGGAAGAGGGUGGGAGGAGACACAUCUUCCUCUGUUAUCAGUGAGCUACAUACUAGACCUGUUGAUGGGACCAGGUGAUGGUACCUGAAUGGAAAAUGACACUGUGACGAACAGCAAAGCCUGACUACAAGUCAUAAAACUUCAAACAGAAAGGGAGCCUUCCAGUUUGUCUCAGCAAUGGAACAGCAAUGGGAAAGCUAGGGCCAGCGUGGAGGCACACCUAGAGGUAGUUCUUAAAAAUUCUUCUUGGAACUUCCUUUUAUUAAAAAGAUUUUAUAAAAUAUGUGUCUUUUCUUCUACGCCUGAGUGAUAUAUAUGACGGUAGGGUGGCCUUGAGGCUGUGGGGAGAGAAAGCGGCAGCCAAGGAUCUUCCCAGGGCAUCCCAUCAGUGGCCCCAGAGAUCUAAAUGGGACAGAUAUUUCUCACGGUCCCCAACCAGGAUAUUGGGCAAAGUUAAGUUUUCAGAUCUCACAAACAACUUGGAAGCCCCCAAACGUUUUGAUGAAAAACGGCAACUCCCAGAACUUCCUGGGUCAGCAAAAGGAUUUGUGGAAGGCGGGGGGCAUUCCCCACAUGCUGCCCCUUUUCCCUAAAUGUCUGAAGCUGGCAGGUAUGGCAGGCAUGGACAGGAGCUCAGGAAGAUGUCGCUCUCCUGCCCGCUAACUACCACAGCUUGAAGACUGCUCAUCCCAGGCCCUGCAAGUGCCCUCUGCUCUUUAUCUGCCAGGCCUUUCACUCCUACCCAUAUUCCUAAGCAGAGGUUCAUAAUGCCUGGGGAAGCAGGAGGGGUGGAGAGGGGUGUCUAGAGGUGAAAACAGCCUGCCUGAACCCCAAGUCGGAAACGGAAUCAGGCAACGAGUGGGCGGGGGUGGGGUGGGGUGGGGUGGCGGGUAGAGGGGGGAGAAGAGGGAGCCGGAAGCUGGGGGCACAGAGGUGAGAGUCAGGUGGCCUGCCAUCCUGGGGCCCGGCAGGGCAAAGGAGCGCGGGUUGGAGGAGGACGGGCUGAGGAGAGGGAAAGGCAGUCCCAGUUUGCACGCCGUGGUCAGAUUCCCCAAGAACGGCCAGGCCGCAGCAGGAACGGGGCAGGGGCUCUUCUGGAAACGCUGGUAACUACAGGCUGUCGCGAUCUCCGCCGCCCGGUGCCUCGGCAUGCCACUCCUGGGAGGCCUCCUCGUCCGCGACUUCUUCCUCCCGGAGCUCCUCCUCCUCUGGCUGAGGCGGCUCGCAGACCAGGCCCGGCUCGCUAGGGGCGCUGCCGUUCUCCACCGCCACGAGGAACGGACUCUCCUCGUCGACGGCCGUCGCCGCCGCCGCCGCCGCCGCCCUCUCCGCUUCCGCCGCCCUCUCCGCCUCCGCCUCCUCCUCUUGGUCGGGGGCUGCCUCCUUGGGUCGUUUGGGGGCGUCCUCCGGCGGGUCCCCCGCGCUCCUCUUCAGCGGCCCCUUCUCCUCCUCAGUGGGCUUGUCGUCGUCCGGCUUCCCCAAUUCGUCGCCGCCGCCACCAGCGUGGGUCGGCUUGUCCUCGUCGCCCUCUGCGGCCUCGGGCUCCGGCCAAGGCCCGUCUCCGCUGCCCUUCUCUGAGGCUAAUGGGCAGUCGGAGGCCUGGACCGUGGGGUUGUUCUCGAUUUCCCACAGCCCCGCGCUGAAGCCGCGCCUCUUGUUGGGCUUGCCGAACUUCUCCUUGCACUCCUUGUACGGGAACAGGCGUUUGGGACUCAGGAAGGCCGUCUCGUGGGUCCCGAAGAAAAACACCUGGUAGCGGUUGGGCUGGGUCAUGUGCUCUAUCCUCGCCGGCCAGUGGGCAUAGCCCUUUAACUUGGCAAACACCAGGUCCCCGCUCUUGUACAUGGGCAUGCCGUAGGCCGACAUAGCUGGUUCU
Molecule: long non-coding RNA, 2034 nt
Filed under: Homo sapiens (human)
Lineage: Eukaryota; Metazoa; Chordata; Mammalia; Primates; Hominidae
Description: non-protein coding lnc-PRL-2:1
Source: RNAcentral